RNAcentral lists this unclassified non-coding RNA (205 nucleotides) under uncultured fungus. RNAcentral describes it as "sequence contains ITS1". The record is from RNAcentral. Lineage: Eukaryota; Fungi.
UUAACUAUAUUCGCUAAUCGCUCAGACUGCAAUCUUCAGACAGCGUUCGGGGGGUCUUCGGCAGGCGCAGGCCCGGGGGCAGAGGCCCCCCGGCGGCCGUGAGGCGGGCCUGCCGAAGCAACAGGGUACAAUAAACACGGGUGGGAGGUUGGACCCAGAGGGCCCUCACUCAGUAAUGAUCCUUCCGCAGGUUCACCUACGGAAA